GGUGCCGCUGGUUCCGCAGAGUGCCUUAGGAGAGCGGAGGAAGCAGUUGCGAGAGACAGUCCUGUGGGGUCCAACAGAGGAGAAAGAAUUGAACUUCCUGCCUGAAAGGAGCCUUUGCAUGGGGAUUAGCCAUCAGUAGCCAUCCGGUCUUAGAGGGUCCUAAGAGUGCUCCAUCGGGCCCGUCAGCCACUUCCCUGGAUCCCCACAGGAACUCAUUCAGAACGAGUCACAUGCUGCUUUGUACCUGGAUGCUUCCUCGUGUACAUCAUGUUUGCAAAGGAAGUAGCCAGCUCUUCGUGGACAGGAACUGUGUCUUACUCUUCUGCCAUCCCUCCCCUCAGGCAGCACUGCCGAGAGCAUUCGCAGUGGCCAUGGAACUCUGUUGAUUGAAUGUUGGCUUGAGGAAGUUCCUGAUGUAGUUGGGCCUGUAGCAGUUGGGAUCUGGCUUCUGCGAUACUCAAGUAGUCCUACUGAAUUACAGUACCGUCAGAACCCUGUGCACAACCCUGAAAUGGGUCAGAACUCCACACUGUGCCAUAAAGAGGAAAAUUGUCAACAGGGAAGUCUAAGGAAACACCCUCUUUUGUGGAAGGCAGCAGUGGCAUGAGAGCCACCCUCUGGGCCAAAGGUGCAGCCUGACAUUCUCUGCAGAAUUACACCAUGAGUUAAGAGUGUGAGCUUCGUUUCUGAGAUACAGCUCCACCCCCUCUGAUCCUGGGAAAACUUAUCAGCUUCACCAAGCCUCUGUUUCUUCACUCUUUGCUCAGUUACUAUCUACCAGGCAUGUUAAAAAUACUUUAUGUGAAUUAUUUUUGCUUUUCACUAACCCUAUUCUACAGGCAUUAAUAAGUGAGCAAAGAGAUUCUCUAUUAUUUGUUACGCAUUAUUAUGUAUUAUCUAUGUUCUUAUUAACUACUUGGUUACAAUAACGUUUGCUAAACUUUUGUUCUGUUCAUUAAAUUCUCGUUGAACCUUAA
Non-coding RNA from Macaca mulatta (Rhesus monkey), 977 nucleotides. Lineage: Eukaryota; Metazoa; Chordata; Mammalia; Primates; Cercopithecidae. The record is from RefSeq and is a predicted model, not a curated record.